AGAGUUUGAUCCUGGCUCAGGAUGAACGCUAGCUACAGGCUUAACACAUGCAAGUCGAGGGGAAACGAUAUUGGAAGCUUGCUUCCGAUAGGCGUCGACCGGCGCACGGGUGAGUAACGCGUAUCCAACCUGCCCAUCACUUGGGGAUAACCUUGCGAAAGUAAGACUAAUACCCAAUGACGUCUCUAGAAGACAUCUGAAAGAGAUUAAAGAUUUAUCGGUGAUGGAUGGGGAUGCGUCUGAUUAGCUUGUUGGCGGGGUAACGGCCCACCAAGGCGACGAUCAGUAGGGGUUCUGAGAGGAAGGUCCCUCACAUUGGAACUGAGACACGGUCCAAACUCCUACGGGAGGCAGCAGUGAGGAAUAUUGGUCAAUGGGCGAGAGCCUGAACCAGCCAAGUAGCGUGCAGGAAGACGGCCCUAUGGGUUGUAAACUGCUUUUAUAAGGGAAUAAAGUGAGUCUCGUGAGACUUUUUGCAUGUACCUUAUGAAUAAGGACCGGCUAAUUCCGUGCCAGCAGCCGCGGUAAUACGGAAGGUCCGGGCGUUAUCCGGAUUUAUUGGGUUUAAAGGGAGCGUAGGCCGGAGAUUAAGCGUGUUGUGAAAUGUAGACGCUCAACGUCUGCACUGCAGCGCGAACUGGUUUCCUUGAGUACGCACAAAGUGGGCGGAAUUCGUGGUGUAGCGGUGAAAUGCUUAGAUAUCACGAAGAACUCCGAUUGCGAAGGCAGCUCACUGGAGCGCAACUGACGCUGAAGCUCGAAAGUGCGGGUAUCUAAAAAGAUUAGAUACCCUGGUAGUCCGCACGGUA
RNAcentral lists this ribosomal RNA (809 nucleotides) under uncultured bacterium. RNAcentral's name for it is "bacterial SSU rRNA". It matches the Rfam family "Bacterial small subunit ribosomal RNA", at positions 8 to 804 of the family's 1533-position model. The record is from RNAcentral.